Leopardus geoffroyi (Geoffroy's cat) is the source of this 523-nucleotide long non-coding RNA. RefSeq lists it as uncharacterized. The record is from RefSeq and is a predicted model, not a curated record. Lineage: Eukaryota; Metazoa; Chordata; Mammalia; Carnivora; Felidae. The transcript is spliced from 2 exons.
GGAUAACCCAGCCAUAAAAACAUACUCUUGUAUUCUAAGAUUAGUCUCAAAGGAUAAGAUAUUGUUACUAUCUUGUGAAAAUAAAUCUAAUUGUUGCCUUGAAUGUAUCCUGGAUAGAAUGUUGUAUCUGAUGGUGUCAUCUCCUAGGGUCUGAGGUUUUAACACUAAGAAAAAUGUUCUUGUUUUCUUAUAUUUUCAUGACAAAAUAGCAUUCUUGUGAAAAGUACUAGAUUACAAAAAAGGGAGAGAGAAGCAGGGAGAGGGGAGAAGACUCUCACCCAGAAUGUCAGAUUUCAGGAAGAUAUCCUAAUGGCCUGAAUCUGUACAUUUCUCUGUGGAGGUGUGGCUUCCACAGUGUGUCUGUCUACAGUGAGCCGUGGAAUAAUUAUACAAAUUGCACUGACUCAUUUUACUCAGGUAAACUCAACCCUUAAAAACUAGGAAGUGCUUCCAAUUUGACCACAAAUCUAUUCUUUAAAGAUCUUUGAGAAAAUCAUUUUUUUUUCUUCUUCAAGUUGUAGCA